RNAcentral lists this ribosomal RNA (495 nucleotides) under uncultured bacterium. RNAcentral's name for it is "bacterial SSU rRNA". It matches the Rfam family "Bacterial small subunit ribosomal RNA", at positions 8 to 507 of the family's 1533-position model. The record is from RNAcentral.
AGAGUUUGAUCCUGGCUCAGAAUGAACGUUGGCGGCGUGGAUUAGGCAUGCAAGUCGUACGCACAGCUUCGGCUGUGAGUGGCGCAAGGGUGAGUAAUGCGAAGGUAACCAAACCCUGGAGUUGGGCAUAACCGCGGGAAACUGCGGGUAAUUCCCAGCGAUGUCGCGAGAUGGCAUCAUCUUGCGACCAAAGGUGUGAUUCCGCUCUAGGACGGGCCUUCGUGGUAUUAGGUAGUUGGUGAGGUAACGGCUCACCCAAGCCGACGAUGCCUACCGGGUGUGAGAGCAUGACCCGGCACACUGGAACUGAGACACUGUCCAGACACCUACGGGUGGCUGCAGUCGAGAAUCUUCGGCAAUGGGCGAAAGCCUGACCGAGCGACGCCGCGUGAGGGAAGAAGGCCUUCGGGUUGUAAACCUCUUUCGUAGAGGAGGAAGGGGCCGUGCAGAGCGGUCUUUGACCUAUUCUAGGAAGAAGCUUGGGCUAAGUUCGUG